CUGUCUCUGGGUCUUUGCGGAAGAAAAGGACGACGAGUCUGCUAGACCGCAGUUUCCUCGACGACGACCCAAAUCAAAUGGAAGGUGGGCAGUGCAAGAGGUGGUUAUUGAAUUAGGGGAGGCGUGGGGCGAGGUCGGACGGAGGAGAGGAGAGGAGAGGAGAGAUCAUCAUAUUAUAUGAGGAGGAGAAGGGUUAGACCGAGAGAGAGACAGAGAAGUACACGAUCGAGGUAGGUAGGAGAAGAAGGAGCCAAGUCGAAUGUCUGUGUCGAACUCUUCCUCUCUCUCCCUUCUCCCAAGCUUAAUUUAACUUAGGGUGGCUGGCCCGGUCACGUCACGUGCGUGGAGGGGGAGUGAGGAAAGGUAAAUGGAGGUGGAUAUAUCGAGGGGCAUAAAGGUGGGGCGGGAGAAGAGAGAAUCCUCAUGUCACGCCACGCCACGCCACGGAGAGGUAUAUUAAAGUCGACCACGUUUGGUCUGUCGUCGUCGAAAGAGGAUGGAGAGGGAGCCUGAUGUGGUUUCGAUCUUGUCGGUACGAGUACGUCCUUCUCUUGAUCCUAUCGAUCGUCGAUCUCAAUCAGGGAACAAAUGUAUCGGUCGUCGAUCGAAGAAGAACUAGUCGUCGUCUAUCAAUCUUCGUCAAGAAAGAAGUCAAAAGUAUGGUUCCGUUCGUCCGGUUCUUCCUCGUUCUUUCUCGGUGGCCACUAGCUAGCCAACCUCCUUUGUUCCCUUAGACGUCUCAUUGCGUCCGCUUCUGCCCUUCCUUCAGUCUCCAACUCCUCUAACCCUAACUCUAACUCUAACUCUAACUCCGCUACCGCUCGCCCGCCAAGUACCUCCUCUACUACUCCCUCGUGCUCGUCUCGGACGACCUCCGCUGCACGCCCCCCGACAAGCUGGUGUAGCUCCUGGACGAGCUGAAGGGGUUCCUCCUGAGCCGCCUCCUGCACGACGAGGAGCUGCGCGGCCACGGACUGUCGGGGGAGCGGCGCGCGCAGGAGCCGCCGCCGCAGGGGGGCGGCCGCGGCCGGAGCGACCUACCCGUCGUCGUCCGCAGCGAGUACCACGGGGGCGGCGGCGGGCGGCCCCUGGUGAGGCGCCGGAAGGAGCCGCGGGAGCCUCUGUGGGUGUAACCGUGCACGCUGCUCGACCUGUACCUGUACCGCGUCGAGCUCACCGACAGCCCCGAGAAGCUGCUGUGGAGGUAGGGCGUCCUCGGCCGGAAGCGGACGCGGCGCGGGUAGUAGUCCCGGAGGCGCGACUCACGGUUGCGGCCGCAGCACGACGGGCUGUUCUACCUCCUGCGCGAGAAGGCGUCGAGGUCGGGGUGAAGGCACGAGCUCCUGCCGCGCUUGUUGCGGUUGCAAUUGUACUUGUUGUUGUUGUCGCCUCCUAGGAGUCGCAGCAGCUGCAGAAGUAGCCGCAGCAGGAGGAGCCUCAGGAAGAGGCCCUCGCCGGCGGGCACCAGACACGGCGACAGCGGCGCGGGCCUCGGCGGGCACGAGCAGUAGGGCCGCGCGCGCGCGUCGUUCGCGAGGGCGCGGAGACGCAAGGGGCGACGGUAGGCGCGGCGACACGGGCGCGGGCUCCGGUGGUAGGACCACGGCUGCGGGUACAAGAGGAGGUGGAGGAGGAUGAGCCUCCUCGGACUCACGUAACGACUCAGGUUGAGCGUCGGGUUCUUCUUCUUCUUCCGGUUCUCCGGCUGGGGAGGCCAGUGGAGACUACGACUCCCGCUGCGGCUGAUGCUCCUUCCGUCGCCGUGACGCGAGCGCGGACCGCUCCACUCCUCCACGUGCGUAACGGUCUAGCUGUUCUGCGGCGUCACCGCACGCCCCGGCGACCCCGGGUUCUGAGAGACGUUACGGACGCCGCACGCGAUGUUCAGGCCAGCGGAGAAGGGCCUUAUGGCGGGCCGCCGGUCGGGGUGGAAGCACGGUCGGUAGGUAAGGUUGAGGGUGUUCUUCCACCACCUCUACGCGGUCUUCCAACUUGGGUUCCCGCUACUGGAGGACGUCAAGUAGGCGGCGGCCCUAACUCGAGGGGCGUGGCCGUAGCCAGCGGCCUGCCAGCCAGAGCAGGGGGAAUCGAUAAUAUAUACAUAUGUACGAUCAUACAUACGUAACGUACGAACGAAGGUUGAUCAGUCAGUCAGUAGUAGCAGCAGUACCGUCACGAAUCGUAACGGAAGUACGUAGGUGGGUGGUAGUAGCGGUACGUAGCCAAAGUCAGUCGUAGGUAGGUAGGUAGUUUAGCGGCCCAUAGGACCGCAAUCAAGUUAUCCCGAAAAGAAAACCCAAAUGAGGUGGAGAAAAAGAAACAGAUAAUGAAUUAACCAAGGGGGAUUCUUCUAAAAAACAAACAUAUCUCCUCCCACUCACUCCUCCCGUCCUCUUUAUCUACCUAGUUAGUGUCUCAGUCACCAACAACGUAACGUCAACGAACGUUUAAUCCAUGAUCCACUCUUCCUCUCGAUUUGGUCGUCGUCGUCGUCGUCUCCGUCUCCGUCGAUCCGUCAGUUAAUCCUUUCAACCACACGAGAUUCGUUCUCACUUCAGUUCCUCUAAACAUUCAACCAAACGAUUCAAUCUCUUUUGAAACACAGUUCAUCAUCGGUAGUCCUCCAACUUCAUCCCCCUAGUGGUUAGUAUCAGUCGUCAAAUAUAACCUCGAACCACAUGAGUUGAGACUUAUAAGAAAAACGUCAAGUAGAUACAAAUCCCUAAAUAUUCACCACAGAAAGAACACAAAAUAUGAUGAUCACAAUGGAAAAAAAAAUGAUCAUCGGUAAUUAAUUCUAAGGAAAAAGAUCAGUAGUACGGAACAACGGAGAUACGUUCAACACUAGUAGGUUCGUCUCCUUAAUAUUAGGAACUCGUGAAGAAGAAGGGGACAAAGAGCACACUUGAUUGACGGAGAUACGUUGAACACUAAUAGGUUAGCGGAACUCGUGACGAUGACUAUCACUGAUCACUGUUAAUAUUUACGAUUACGCG
RNAcentral lists this ribosomal RNA (2996 nucleotides) under Triticum aestivum (bread wheat). RNAcentral describes it as "partial small subunit ribosomal RNA". The record is from RNAcentral. Lineage: Eukaryota; Viridiplantae; Streptophyta; Magnoliopsida; Poales; Poaceae.